CACGCCGUAAACGUUGGGCACUAGGUGUGGGUUCCAACCAACGGAAUCCGUGCCGCAGCUAACGCAUUAAGUGCCCCGCCUGGGGNAGGCAACGCGAAGAACCUUACCUGGGUUUGACAUUCUGGGAAAAGCCGUAGAGAUACGGUGUCCGAAAGGGUCCAGAACAGGUGG
Molecule: ribosomal RNA, 171 nt
Filed under: uncultured bacterium
Lineage: Bacteria
Description: partial 16S ribosomal RNA
Rfam family: Bacterial small subunit ribosomal RNA (bases 1-80)
Source: RNAcentral